CCUACGGGGGGCAGCAGUGGGGAAUAUUGCACAAUGGGCGAAAGCCUGAUGCAGCGACGCCGCGUGAGUGAAGAAGUAUUUCGGUAUGUAAAGCUCUAUCAGCAGGGAAGAAAAUGACGGUACCUGACUAAGAAGCCCCGGCUAACUACGUGCCAGCAGCCGCGGUAAUACGUAGGGGGCAAGCGUUAUCCGGAUUUACUGGGUGUAAAGGGAGCGUAGACGGCGAAGCAAGUCUGAAGUGAAAACCCAGGGCUCAACCCUGGGACUGCUUUGGAAACUGUUUUGCUAGAGUGUCGGAGAGGUAA
Molecule: ribosomal RNA, 305 nt
Filed under: uncultured bacterium
Lineage: Bacteria
Description: bacterial SSU rRNA
Rfam family: Bacterial small subunit ribosomal RNA
Source: RNAcentral